Molecule: long non-coding RNA, 4876 nt
Organism: Balaenoptera ricei (Rice's whale)
Lineage: Eukaryota; Metazoa; Chordata; Mammalia; Artiodactyla; Balaenopteridae
Exons: 2
Source: RefSeq, a predicted model, not a curated record
UUGCGGUGGCCUCUCCUGUUGCGGAGCACGGGCUCUAGGUGCGCGGGCCUCAGUUGCUGUGACUCACGGGCUUCAGAGCACAGCCUCAAUAGUUGUGGCGCACGGGCCCAGCUGCUCCGUGGCAUGUGGGAUCUUCCCAGACCAGGGCUCGAACCCAUGUCCCCUGCACUGGCAGGAGGAUUCUCAAUCACUGCGCCACCAGGGAAGCCCGCACUUUGUUCUUUCAAUGGCUGGUCCCUAUGAUGUCACAUUAAUAGCACCCAAUUUAAAACUUUCCCAUUGGCCAGCAUCAUGGUACUCCAAAGGCAUGGAAUAGGUAGAUGGCUUUAGGCCAGGGCUUGAACAUAAGCAUAGACAAUUCUUGUGAUACUGAAAUGUCAGCAUGGAAAGAUCUUGAGGGGCUGGCAUGAUGAUCUUUCUGAUGAGGUGCAUCGAGGGAAAGGGGCUUUCCCAAGUUUGAAAAGUGCUCAAAUUCCUGCUUCUCUUCUUCCCACUUCAAAGCCAGUUUCUGUAAGAUUAAUGAGCCUCCCACUCAUUCACCAAGUUUAUGCAAAAACGCGGGCGGGGGUGGUGCUGUGCAAAAGCAAGGGAACUGGCUGUGUGUGACACCAUCCAGAAGCUUUGAUGGGGGCCACUGGCCAGUCUGGCUUCCUGAGCGUGGGGCCUCUGACAUGUAGGGGAGAGGCCACCUGGAAAGCUUUGCUGGACUUGAAGAAACAAUUAGAUUAAGUCCUCCAUGGCAGUAAGUUUAAAGGGGCAACCCUUAAAAUUAAAGAAUGUCAACUUGAUGAAAGCCUCACAGAAGCUGCUCCAGUGACACCGUCUGCAUUCCAUUUCCUCAGUUGCUCUUUCUCACGUCUUUUCUACGUGUGGUUCCCUGACCUGGAUGCUUCCCCCAUCACCUAGUUAGACUGCUACUAACCUUUCUGACUUCAACUUGUGUGUCACUUCCUUGUGGAAACCUGGCCACUCCUCACUGAGGACUCUCAAAGCACCCCAUCCCGUUUGUGAUUGAUGUGUGACCCCUAGACUCUAAGCACCUGGGCAGGGACCGUUUCUGUGCUGCUCGCCACUGUGUCACCAGCAUUUAGUCCAACACCUGACACAGUAGGUACUCAAUAAAUAUUUACUGACUGAAGGAAUAACUGAAGGGAGACAUUUCCAUUCCAAUAUAAAACAGCACAGCUGUCCCCAAGUGUUGUGGCUGCUGCCAAGCGAUUCCAAAAACAGGUUAAAAGAAACCAGACCAACUUCUAAGCGGCCGUGACCCCUGCCCUGUUUACUCCCAAACACAUAAGUAACAUGCUGUGUUAUCAGAUCCAAGGGUUAGCCUUAGAGAGGAAGUGAAACACCACAGCAAAUCACCUGGAUUUUUCACUUUCUCUUCAGACAGCAGGUUGGGCUUGCUGACAGGUCACCUAGCAGCCCAGGGGAGGAGCUGCUUGAUCUAGAAGGGGUCCUGUUCUGGGGACCACGCCCGUGCCCCAGAGGCCGGCCUCGCCAGAGACCCUUCCACCCCUCCAACCCUCCUGUCCAAAGGCCCCAGCGGAAGGAUGUUCACUCCCCGCUAGAGUCAGGGCAGAUGCUCACACAGCACCCAGGCUUGCUGGGUGACGGGCAGCACUGCAGGCCUUGGCUGCCAGGUGGCUUCAACAACCGUGAUUGAGUUCUAGAUCCCUCCCCCUGCGUUUACGCUGGGGCUCCUCCGCCAGUGCAGAGGGAGAAGCGAGCCAGCCGGCUCCCCAGCCCAGUAUAUUCUCUCGCACCUGACAGAGGAGACUUGGUCUGACUGCAGGCGGCAGGAAAAGUUCAUUUCCUGAGCGAAGGCGUGAGUAACCCAGUGGAUUCUCAGCAAGACAGGUGAGCCUCUUGGAAUUGGUAACACAGGUUGCCUCAGGGAACGGGUGGGAGGGAAGCUUUUCACUUCUUUUCUUUUGUACCUCUUAAAUUUUGAGUCAUUUAAGUAUGACCUAGUCAAAAUAUUUUAAUUUGAAUGAAUUGAGCAUAAUGCCACUUUCCCGAGGGAGGGAAGGGGGGACUCUGCUUGGUCUCAAGGUAGCUUGCAGUAAGUCUGACCUGGAAAUUGACGCCACUCACCAAAGCUGACCUUUUCAGAACCAGGCUUUGUAUAUCUCCUCAAGCACUGCUUCUCAGCCUUUCACGUGCACAUGAAUCACCUGGGAGUCUUGUUGAAAUGCAGGUUCUGAUUUAGGGGGAUGAGGGAGGGGCCUGAGACUGCAUUUCUAACAAGCUCCCACAUGAUGCAGAUGCUGCUGGUCCACGGACCACACUUUGAGUAGCAGUGCUUUACAGCCACUGAGGGAGGGGGUUGAGGGCCAACCUAGUAACAACUGUUUCCACUAGACGAUUGAGCGCCAUUCGUCAUCUCAUUAGCCCUUCAGGUGGAGCCUUAGAGGAGACGGAGGGAAGCCGAGCAAGGACACUGCAAGCCCCACAGAACAGCAAGAGCCAAACCACACAGGCAGAUGCGUCUCCCAUCUGGGUGAGACGCUAUCCCCUGAGCUUCCCGAGGCUCUCCUUCCUCAUGGCCAGCUGCCUCCUCACAGGUCCAGUCCUUUCCCAGUUGCCUCCUUGGCCACCUUUAAAUUUCAUCCCUGGGGGCAAGGCCAAAUGUCCCCUUGGGUGUUGGCCAAGGUCUUUCUCUGAGGAGCCAUCAUUCGCUCUAGGGAUUUGUGCAGGUCUCAGCUAGAGGCUGGAGGAAGGCCGGAGUGCUGGGCCCAGCUGUCACGUCUGUCGGCUCUGAAGGGAAUUACAUGCGUGCUCCCCUCCCUGGGGGUCAGGUCAGUGUCUCAUUCAAGCAUCUUUUGGACAGGGCCCAGCCCACAGCAGGCAUCAGUGUUUGCUGUGUGAAUGAAUGAAUAACUGAAUGCCCUACUAAGUUCUUGGGAAAAAUGAAAACACUUUAGGCCCCUGGCCUGCCCUCCACCCCUCCCCUCCCCAGGGCCUCUUCUGCAUGAGCCACUGUGGCCACUGGGAGGCUCCCCUCCCCGCACACACAACAAAAAGCUUGUAGCAGGAUCCCAGAGCGCAGGAGAGAUGGCUGUGCCUGGAAGCCCCGUCCCAUGGGGAUGACGAUGACUCUUCCCAGUUCAGAGCUGUGGGCAGUUCUGCCCUCAAAUCUUCACCAAAUCUGCUGUCAGCCGACAGCUCUGGCUAUGCCUCCACGGUCUGCAGGUUCUGCAGCUGCUCCACGUUCACCUUCCCAUUCCCCUGGCGGCCAGGCCUGUGUGGGGCGGAUGGGGGCACUGAGGACGCUUGGGAGCCCUGCAGGCAGGGACAGCCUCCCUAAAGGCAGACUCCGCCUGCAGAAGCUCUGGCUGGCAGCGCGGCAGGCAGUGAGCGUUCGCAGAGAGCGGCAGUCUGAGGGGUCCCUGGCCGCAGCCCAGGCACGGGGAGGCGCUCAGGCCGCGGCCUCUGGAGCUGGCCCAGCAAUGAGCAGCCGCCGCGGCCCCACAGCAACAGGCGAGGCUGGCCAAGACCAGCAGGGCAACCGCUCUUUCCUCUUGCAGGGGAAGGAGCUCAGGUGAGCACCCAGGAAGUGACAGUCAGGGAGCAUGUGGGGGGCUGCUGGCACAGGCCUACCCCAGCAGAUCUCCCAGCCUCUCCAUCCUUUGCCUUCCCUCUCCAUCCUGGCUCACCACUCUCUCUUUCCCUGCCCAGGCCCAGCUCCCCACUGGAGGCUGCCAAUCGCUGAGUCAGCAGAGAAUGGAAGCUCGAAGCAGAGGGCAGCCAGCCCCAGAAAAACAAAGGGGCAUGAAAGGUCCAGAGGAAGCCUUUCCCUGCCCUCCAGCCGUUACUUCCUCUCCGGUGGCCCCUCUGCCCAACUGAAGGGACAGACCUGGACUACAGCCCGACUUCCCUGCCUCUCAUCUUUCUAGCCCCGUGAUUCACACCCGGGGGGCAGUUUGGCGACGUCUGGAGACAUUUUUGGACGUCACAGCUGUGGGGGAAGGUGCUGCUGGCGUCUGGUGGGUAGAGGCCGAGGACGCUGUCAGACACCUUACAAUGCACACAGUCGCCCCACAAAAAAAGUGAUCUGGCCCUACAUGUCAGCAGGGCCGCGGCUGAGAAGCCCUGUGUAUAGCCGGAUCCUGCCUCUUUCUAGCAGAAGUGGAGACAAGGCUGCGCAGGAUCCCAGAGAACCCCCCGCUGCAGCGCCACAGGCAGAAGCCUCUCUGGCUCUGGAAAGAGAAACCCAGGCAGUCACGGCCACCUGGGGGCUGCUGGAGGGGUGUGAAGUCCCAGAGAGCCCUCUUCACCCCCAUCCGCACUGACCUCCCCAGUUCUGGUUCUUUCUGGGGCACUGGGACAACUCCCCUGGGGCAGUGUCCCCCCCCCCCCGCCCCCGCAGGUGCUCGGAGGGUAAAGGGGGUGGGGGAGAGGUACUCACAACGCCCAUAAGCGCCACCCCUGAGCCCACGUUGAUGACUGUGGGGAUGAUGUUGAACUUCCCUGCCUGGAGCCCAGAGAGACAAGGUGGGGUGAGGAAGGCAGCAGGACAGCAGGAUCCCCAAGGACUCCACCAGAGCCAGCCUGGGGUCCCCCCAGCACGCCCCACCCUCCCAGGACCUGCCCAGCUUCAGAAGGGGAGCCUCACCCACACACCUUGCCGUUCACCAUCACAUCAAAGCGGAUCCCAUAGGCUUUAAACAGCGUGCGGAACUCCACCCCAGCCGCAUCUCGGUAAUACUUGGCAAACCUGGGGGAGACACGGCUCGGGGAGCCCUCGGCCUGCCUGGGUCUUCCCUGUUUGGCAACACAGGCUCCGCUGCCUUGGAGAUUUAUAACCCCACCCCCACCCCAGGACCCUGGCAUUCAGCAGCCCCUUGCUGAUGUGAAAUAAAAGAUUCGUUCA